Corchorus olitorius is the source of this 65-nucleotide non-coding RNA. The record is from Rfam. Lineage: Eukaryota; Viridiplantae; Streptophyta; Magnoliopsida; Malvales; Malvaceae.
UCCCAAUGAGGAAGAAUUCCCAUGGAUAGGAAGUGCCGUAUGACACUUUACACAGCAGCGGCAAC